GAGCAGGUUAGGUUUAUUCUCAUCGGUUUCAUAUUAUUAUUUUUUGAUUGAAUCGGUUCUUCUCAUCAAAAUCACUCUGCAUGCGUUGUGAAUCCCGCUUGUUAGUGUUUUUUUAUUCGAUUAGCCUUGGAUGUGUUUUUUUUUAGAGAUCAAGUGUUGUUAUCGGAUUUGUAUAUUUGUGUAUCGGGUAUUUGUGUUCUGAUUUGUAUCGGUUAGAGAUCAAGUGUAAAAUCGGAUUUGUUUAUGUAUGGUUCAAAUUUGUAUAUGUAUGUUUCGAAUUUUUUUAUCUCUUUUGUUUCUUCUAAGUUGUUUUCUAUUCAUAUCGGUUGAUAGAUUCAGAAGAUAGUAAUGAAGUGUAUUAAUG
RNAcentral lists this long non-coding RNA (364 nucleotides) under Eutrema salsugineum. RNAcentral's name for it is "long non-coding RNA (ESAL_LNC001661)". Lineage: Eukaryota; Viridiplantae; Streptophyta; Magnoliopsida; Brassicales; Brassicaceae. The record is from RNAcentral.